GCCUGACUGGCUUAGUCAGUUAAGCAUCUGACUUCGGCUCAGGUCAUGAUCUCAUGGUUCACGAGUUUGAGUCCCGCGUUGGGCU
Molecule: transfer RNA, 85 nt
Filed under: Felis catus (domestic cat)
Lineage: Eukaryota; Metazoa; Chordata; Mammalia; Carnivora; Felidae
Also listed under: 2 other names
Rfam family: tRNA
About the family: Transfer RNA (tRNA) molecules are approximately 80 nucleotides in length.
Source: Rfam by way of RNAcentral